GAUGAACGCUGGCGGCGUGCCUAACACAUGCAAGUCGAACGGAGUCGUUUUGGAAAUCUCUUCGGAGAUGGAAUUCUCGACUUAGUGGCGGACGGGUGAGUAACGCGUGAGCAAUCUGCCUUUAAGAGGGGGAUAACAGUCGGAAACGGCUGCUAAUACCGCAUAAAGCAUUAAAUUCGCAUGUUUUUGAUGCCAAAGGAGCAAUCCGCUUUUAGAUGAGCUCGCGUCUGAUUAGCUAGUUGGCGGGGUAACGGCCCACCAAGGCGACGAUCAGUAGCCGGACUGAGAGGUUGAACGGCCACAUUGGGACUGAGACACGGCGCAGACUCCUACGGGAGGCAGAAGUGGGGAAUAUUGCGCAAUGGGGGAAACCCUGACGCAGCAACGCCGCGUGAUUGAAGAAGGCCUUCGGGUUGUAAAGAUCUUUAAUCAGGGACGAAACAAAUGACGGUACCUGAAGAAUAAGCUCCGGCUAACUACGUG
This 483-nucleotide ribosomal RNA is filed under the name uncultured bacterium. Its description in RNAcentral is "partial 16S ribosomal RNA". It matches the Rfam family "Bacterial small subunit ribosomal RNA", at positions 28 to 507 of the family's 1533-position model. The record is from RNAcentral.